CCUACUUACAUUGAAAAUACCCACUCAUGAAGCAUGAUCAAAAAUUGGUUUGGUGUUUAUUUGGUGUGUCCCAAGUAGGUGUGGGAGUGGAUGCAAAGUGGAUGUCAUAAGUGAUGAUAAUUAUAUCUCAUGUAGGAGUCCUUCUUUCAUGAGUAUUAGAUCAAUUCAAAUCAGAUUUGAAUAAAGAGUCCUCCUCUCAUUGGGUAUGAGAAUCAUCUAUAAAUAGAGAGGAUCUCUACCUAUGGAUGAGAGAAGAGAAUAGAAUAGCAAACAAAUCAAAUUGAGAGAAGAGAAAAAAAGAGAG
This 304-nucleotide long non-coding RNA is filed under the name Elaeis guineensis (African oil palm). Its description in RNAcentral is "long non-coding RNA (EGUI_LNC078561)". Lineage: Eukaryota; Viridiplantae; Streptophyta; Magnoliopsida; Arecales; Arecaceae. The record is from RNAcentral.